Mandrillus leucophaeus (drill) is the source of this 1956-nucleotide RNA transcript. RefSeq lists it as uncharacterized. The transcript has a single exon. The record is from RefSeq and is a predicted model, not a curated record. Lineage: Eukaryota; Metazoa; Chordata; Mammalia; Primates; Cercopithecidae.
AAAAAAAGGAGGAACAAAACAUGGGUAACUACAGAGAAGCUGGGAAAGAAGGCCAACAAGGUAGUAAUCUGCGGAGCUGGCUCAGCGCAGCCACCAUUAGGGGGCCACCAUUGCGCAUGCUCACACAUCCACAGCCGCCACGCCCGUCAUUUUGUGUCACUGCGCAAGCCCAGAACAUCCUUGCGUUCCCUCAACGCCGGCAGAACAAGAUGGCGGCGGCCACGUGGGAUAAGGAAAGCAAGUAUCCGCUGUCGCGUGGUCACUGCCACCACCGACGGCACCCAGUCCCUCCCGAGGGGCCUCACACUCAGAUACAGCGCGCUGGCCUCCCACCAACCGAAAUGUUCACCUCCCAGCACGGGACCCGCCCGCCCCAGAGAAAGCCAAGCCUACGUGUCAGCGGCCAUUACUCUCCCCACUCACUAUCCCCCGGUCUCGGCCGGCGCGGCGCGUGUGUGGCGAGGAGCCGCCGUUCCGCAGGCCAUACGCAACUUACCUGGAAAUUAAAACGUAAAAAACCCGGACAGACGGCGAGCUCGGAGGAGCACAGAAAACAAGGACUGGUCUGCGCGGGAAGACGAUUGAUAAAGAGUACGUAGCAAGAACGUCCCGGAACGUUCCCCUUGCGCGUCCCGGCGUGCAUGCUGAUUGGCUGAGGCUAGCAGGGGCGGAGUGGCGGGGGAGAGGAAGGGACAGCAAAGUGAAGGGAGCAGUAUUCUCUGCGAAAUGGGGUGUUUCCGGAAAUGGGGUCGACUUUUGCACAGAUGGUGCACUCUAAACGUCAGCAUCCCCCCCACAACCGGCUGAGCUGCCUUGAUCCCUUCCACACAGGAACCUUCUCACUCUCAUACUACUUGCCGUCCCUGACAUCAUCCUCCCGUCCUUGCCAUCGUUUCCCCCGCUGGAUCUGAUGUCUUCCUCACCAUCGCAAUCGUCUUCCUCUAGGUCCCUGCCAUUCUCUGAUGUCAACCUCCUUCACCUUCUAGUUCUUUAACCUCGUACCCUUUAAAGGCCCGACAUUUUAUCCCCCACGUCACUGAUGUCAUCACCCUUCACAGUCCGUGAUGUCAGACCAUACGUUUUAAGGUUUGACCCUGACUCCUACUCUUUCUCCUCUGUGCUCAACAUCUAGCCGCCUGUCAUGCGACAUUCUUCCCUGGCGUCAUUCCUUCUCAUCUCUGACUUCAGCCCUCACCCUUGUCUGACUGCCCCCCGUGAAGCCAGCCCCUUAAUUUUCCCACCAAUAGACUGCCUGAGAUGGCUUUUACAAAACAGGAUGCUGGCCGGGUGCGGUGGCUCACGCCUGUAAUCCCAGCACUUUGGGAGGCUGAAACGGGCGGAUCACGAGGUCAGGAGUUCGAGACCAGCCUGGCGAACAUGGUGAAACCCCGUCUCUACUGAAAAUACAAAAAAAAAACCCCAAAAAACAACAACAAAAAAAACCAGCCAGGUGUGGUGGCACGCGCCUGUAGUCCCACCUACUCGGGAGGCUGAGGCGGGAAAAUCGCUGGAACCCGGCAGGUGGAGGUUGCAGAGAGCCGAGACCACACCAUUGCACUCCAGCCUCGGUGAAAACAAAACAAAACAAAACAGGAUGCUGCGAUCUUCAGAGGUUGUAAAUCCCAGUCCUUAGAGCAAUUUUUGCUCUCUUCGAAAGUAACUGAGCCCUUGCCGGGGGUGGUGGCGCACGCCUGUAAUUCCAGCACUUUGGGAGGCCGAGGCAGGCAGAUCACAAGGUCAGGAGUUUGAGACCACCCUGGCCAAUAUGGUGAAACCCUGUCUCUACUAAUACAAAAAAUAAUAAUAAUAAUAAUUAGCCGGGCGUGGUGGUAGGCACUUGUAGUCCCAGCUACUCGGGAGGCUGAGGCAGGAUAAUCACUUGAACCCGGGAGGCAGAGGUUGCAGUGAGCUGAGAUCAUGCCACUGCACUCCAGCUUGGGCAACAGAGCGAGACUC